UGCAGGAGACAGUGGAUUUGACCACGUG
This 28-nucleotide non-coding RNA is filed under the name Mus musculus (house mouse). The record is from RNAcentral. Lineage: Eukaryota; Metazoa; Chordata; Mammalia; Rodentia; Muridae.